AGAGUUUGAUCCUGGCUCAGGACGAACGCUGGCGGCGUGCUUAACACAUGCAAGUCGAACGGAGAAUUUAUUUCGGUAGAUUCUUAGUGGCGAACGGGUGAGUAACGCGUGGGCAAUCUGCCCUUCAGAUGGGGACAACAUCCCGAAAGGGGUGCUAAUACCGAAUACGAUCGUUUUCCCGCAUGGGAUUGCGAUGAAAGAUGGCCUCUAUUUAUAAGCUAUCGCUGAAGGAUGAGCCUGCGUCUGAUUAGCUAGUUGGUGGGGUAACGGCCUACCAAGGCGAUGAUCAGUAGCCGGUCUGAGAGGAUGAACGGCCACAUUGGGACUGAGACACGGCCCAAACUCCUACGGGAGGCAGCAGUGGGGAAUAUUCCGCAAUGGACGAAAGUCUGACGGAGCAACGCCGCGUGAGUGAUGAAGGUUUUCGGACUGUAAAGCUCUGUUGUUUAGGACGAAAGUGCCUGUUGCGAACAGUUACAGGUAUUGACGGUACUAAACGAGGAAGCCACGGCUAACUACGUGCCAGCAGCCGCGGUAAUACGUAGGUGGCAAGCGUUGUCCGGAAUUAUUGGGCGUAAAGAGCAUGUAGGCGGAGAUUUAAGUCUGUUGUGAAAAUGCGGGGCUCAACCCCGUAUUGCGAUGGAAACUGAAUUUCUUGAGUGCACGAGAGGAAAGGGGAAUUCCCAGUGUAGCGGUGAAAUGCGUAGAUAUUGGGAGGAACACCAGUGGCGAAGCGCCUUUCUGGACUGUGUCUGACGCUGAGAUGCGAAGCCAGGUAGCGAACGGGAUUAGAUACCCGGUAGUCCUGGCCGUAACGAUGGGUACUAGUGUAGGGUAUCGAACCCCCCCUGUGCCGAGUACGCAUAGUACCCCGCUGGG
Molecule: ribosomal RNA, 879 nt
Filed under: uncultured bacterium
Lineage: Bacteria
Description: bacterial SSU rRNA
Rfam family: Bacterial small subunit ribosomal RNA
Source: RNAcentral